UACAGAGGCCCCAAGCGUUGUUCGGAUUCACUGGGCGUAAAGGGUGCGUAGGUGGUGAGGUAAGUCGGAUGUGAAAUCUCCGGGCUCAACCCGGAAAUGGCAUUGGAAACUACCUUGCUGGAGGAUUUGAGGGGGGAUUGGAAUACUUGGUGUAGCAGUGAAAUGCGUAGAUAUCAAGUGGAACACCAGUGGCGAAGGCGAAUCCCUGGAAAAUACCUGACACUGAGGCACGAAAGCUAGGGGAGCAAACAGG
Molecule: ribosomal RNA, 253 nt
Filed under: uncultured bacterium
Lineage: Bacteria
Description: partial 16S ribosomal RNA
Rfam family: Bacterial small subunit ribosomal RNA
Source: RNAcentral